This 328-nucleotide ribosomal RNA is filed under the name uncultured eukaryote. RNAcentral describes it as "partial 18S ribosomal RNA". It matches the Rfam family "Eukaryotic small subunit ribosomal RNA", at positions 1470 to 1796 of the family's 1831-position model. The record is from RNAcentral.
CCCUUAGAUGUUCUGGGCCGCACGCGCGCUACACUGAUGCAUUCAACGAGUUUCUUCCUGGUCCGAGAGGAAUGGGUAACCUUUUGAAAGUGCAUCGUGAUAGGGAUAGACUAUUGCAAUUAUUGGUCUUCAACGAGGAAUUCCUAGUAGACGUAGUUCAUCAGACUGCAUCGAUUACGUCCCUGCCCUUUGUACACACCGCCCGUCGCUCCUACCGAUUGAACGAUCCGGUGAAAACUCAGGACUGAUGACUGACCAGCGGUUCGCCGUUGCCAGUUUCGGGAAUUUGUUUGAACCUUAUCGUUUAGAGGAAGGAGAAGUCGUAACA